Molecule: transfer RNA, 78 nt
Filed under: Veillonella sp.
Lineage: Bacteria; Bacillati; Bacillota; Negativicutes; Veillonellales; Veillonellaceae
Description: tRNA-Asn
Rfam family: tRNA (bases 1-68)
About the family: Transfer RNA (tRNA) molecules are approximately 80 nucleotides in length. Their secondary structure includes four short double-helical elements and three loops (D, anti-codon, and T loops).
Source: RNAcentral
GAUAGCUCAGUUGGUAGAGCAAUCGGCUGUUAACCGAUCGGUCGUAGGUUCGAGUCCUAAUUCCCGGACGGGUCACCA